Molecule: transfer RNA, 68 nt
Filed under: Marmota monax (woodchuck)
Lineage: Eukaryota; Metazoa; Chordata; Mammalia; Rodentia; Sciuridae
Description: tRNA.Val
Source: RNAcentral
GGAUUGUAGCUCAGUAGUAGAGUGCUUGCCUCACAUAUCUGAGGCACUGGGUUCGAUCCUCAGCACCA